UUCCCUCUUGUAACAGCAUGAGUAACGUUCCUCUCUUCAUUAUCUGGUUUGGCUUUAGCAGGUGGUGCUGUAACUCAGGAUAUGGACCUUGUCCUCAGACACUCAUGUCUUCUACCAGAUAAGAGGCCAAGAAGCUGGGAAGAUUGGACAACUCAGAAUCCAACUGAGACCCUAACCAGACGUGAAACAUUUCCUGAGUCAUCCAGGAGGGAAAUCUUAUACAAUGCAGAAGAAGAAGAAGAAGAAGAAGAAGAAGA
Grammomys surdaster is the source of this 257-nucleotide long non-coding RNA. RefSeq lists it as uncharacterized. NCBI's taxonomy places the organism in Eukaryota, Metazoa, Chordata, Mammalia, Rodentia, Muridae. The record is from RefSeq and is a predicted model, not a curated record. The transcript has 3 exons.